Camelus dromedarius (Arabian camel) is the source of this 5648-nucleotide RNA transcript. It is a transcript of the gene named aurora kinase A interacting protein 1, with no coding region annotated. The transcript is spliced from 6 exons. Lineage: Eukaryota; Metazoa; Chordata; Mammalia; Artiodactyla; Camelidae. The record is from RefSeq and is a predicted model, not a curated record.
CUUGCUGGCGGCCGGACGCGGAGUUGGGGGCGGUUUAGGGAAGGACCGGAAGUGCUGAGCACGGCGGCGGAAUGGUCGGUUGAAUCGCCGGGCCUGGUUUGGGGAGAGUCUGCGUGAGGACGCGGAGCGCGGGCUCCAGGAGCAGCUGAGAAAGCAGCGGCCGGAAGGUGGGGGCGGCUCAGGGCUUGGGACCCGAGCUUGGACACCGCCCGCGCGGUGGACGCCUCAAGCUCCUCUGAGCACCUUGGGCCGCUGCCACACACACACCAUGUUCCUGGUUCGCCUGACUUCGCAGCUGCUCAGGGCUAUUCCCCGGGCAGGGUACAGUCGGCCCUGGCCUGUCUCGAGGGUGCUGGGCAGCCAUGCUUGCAGGCCUCACUUCAGCACACAGCCAACAGGCCCGAGUGGGUUUGUCUCCCUUCCUGGCAAGCGGGUUCACCUGGAGCUUGAGGAGAUGCUGGUCCCCAGGAAGAUGUCUGUCAGCCCCUUGGAAAGCUGGCUGACCAUCCGCUAUCUCCUGCCCAGACUGGACGCUGGGACCCAACUCUAUGAAUGUCCAGCUAGUCACAUGGGCGAAGGGGCUGAGCAGGGGGUCAAGGAGGUGUGGGAGGCACCCCAGAUGCAGUGCAAAAACGUACUAAAGAUCCGCCGGCGGAAGAUGAAUCAUCACAAGUACCGCAAGCUAGUCAAGAGAACGCGGUUCUUGCGGCGGAAGGUCAGGGAAGGACGCCUGAAACGGAAGCAGGUGUUACCUGUUGGCCUCUCUCGUGCUGCCCCUCCGUCCCUCCUCCGACCUGGCGGCCUAAUCCACAGCGGAAAAAAAAAAAAGAAAGAAAAGCUGGAACAAUGGUUGUCACGGGAUAAGAAGCCAACGUCACCAAGGAGACUUCACUUCAUAGAAGCAUUAAUAUCGUCUAACUGCUGGGAUGGGAAAUGUCGAGUUUUACAAAGUUGUAUGAGAAAAAGGCCAAGUGAUAUUUUUAAUCAAGAUGAUCCUGGAUAAAUUAGACGGUUUCCUAAUUCUGCCUUGAAUGGCUGUGUCUUUCCCCUGACGUCACGAACCGUGUGAGACAGUGGAGGAUAAUAUCAUGGGUUUGGGAAGAAUCAGGUUUAUUUACUUACGCAAAGCUUACUUAACUUUCCUAAAUUUCCUGGUCUGGUUUUAUGUCUCAGGAUUUACUCCUGUAACCCAGAUGGAGCUCUGAAUUGUCUGCAUGUCAUUUGCGCACCUGUCGCCGAGGUGCACCUGUCGCCGAGGUGCACCUGUGCAGGGAUUACAGCACACCUCCCCCCUCCCCCCAGCCUGGCCCUCGCUGUGCGAUCUUGCUGCUCCUCCCCCAGGGCUCCCUUGGGUCUGGCUGUGACCUGCUCUUACCAGUAGAAAGAGGCAGAUGCUUCCAAGCUCUGGCCGGAAGGGUUCUGGCAGCUUCUAUCAGUGGAAGGAAGCCUGGCGUAGGCGGCCGAGCGACAGGUCACGUGGUGGGAAGAGGCCGUGUGGACAGAAGACCCGGGUAGUGGCCGCCCCGACCCCCAGUUGCUGGAGUGAAGCCAUGGGGCUCGUCAGCCCCCGUGAGCUACCCCAGCAGCACCAUGUGCCCCAGGACCUGGGCAGCCAGGGACCCUCCUGUGCCUUCCACGAGGGGAGCCACGCUCCUGCUUGUUCUCCGUAAAUCAUUUGGAAUUCUGCGUGAAGAAUUCCAUUUACGUGAGCAGCCACUUAUUUCUGGGAGUGUGACUUUCCAUUUCAGGUUACAGUCCAGCACCCCUGGCUCCAGCUCUUGGCCCUGGGCCCCCACCCCCUUGUUCUUUUUUCUUUUUUUCCCAACACUUCCUUUCCAGCAGUACAGGCUCUCCAGGUUUAUUUAGUAUGUUUCCUCCCAGCCCUAAAGGCGGCCAUUUCUCCAAGGAGCCCUGGUUCCUUUGUUGGAAAACGAUCUUAGAAACCAAGGUCUGGAGCUGGGCAUGCUCACUGCUGCGGGCCUUCGCAGACAACAGAGGUGGCCCUGCAUCAGCACAUCCACCGCCAUUUUCACGCGCCUGUGUUUGUGUCUGCUAACACAAGUUUGUGUCAUUCUCCCUAGCUGUUGCCCAGGGCCACGUGGGUCUUCCCAGCCCCUCUCCUUACCCUCUCGUGUAAUCGCUCAGUUCCGUGUUCCUGUAUGGAGUGUCAGAGCGGAUAAACCACAGCCUCAGGGAAGCAACUCUGUCAGCUCAAAUGAAAACACCAUCCCUUCCCGACUCACCAGGAAGUCAGUGGACAUGGGCAUCUUGUGGGUGAGGUGACUCACAUCUGAUGGAAGUAAAUCGAUGGUUCCUGACUCCUGGCUACAGAACUGAUGAAGUGAUAAGGACGAUGAGGAGACCUUCCUGGCGUGACGGGAAAGAUGGAAAUCCAGAAGCCACCUUGCCACCCGGGGUCUGGCUCCGGUUCAUGAGCAACGUGAGCAGUGUCUGCAUGUUGGUUGGGUGGCCUCCCCACACCUUCUCAAACAGAACAGGCCAGUGGGGAGAGUACAGGUGGGCUGCAGGGCGCCACGGGUCAGGCUCCGGCCACUGCAGUAAAGUGAAUGCCAUGACAAAACGAGGCACACACAUUCUGUGGUUUCCCGGCCUAUGUAAAAGCCACAUUUAUACCAUAAUCUAUUAAGUGCAUAACAGCAUUAUGUCUGAAAAGUGCACGUACAUUAGUUAAAAAAUUUGUUAUCUCUAAAAAAUGCGAACCAUCAUCUGGGCCUUCAGUGAGUCAUAACUUUCUUGCUGGUGGAGGGUUAAAAAUGUGAGAAUUACCAAAAUGUGACACAGAAACCCGGGGUGAGCAAGUGCUGUUGGGAAAACGGCCCUGGUGGGCUUGCCUGACGCAGGGUCCCCACAGACCUUCAGUUUGUAAAAAUGCAUCAUCUGUGAAGCGCAGUAAAGUGAGGCGUGCCUGUUCCCCACUAAAGACACCACGCAGGAAACCGCUUGCUGAGGGUUUGACCACGACUGCUAAAAUCCUUGGUCUUGGGUCCUUGACGGUUUCUCAGGGUGAAGGGGUUGCCUGGUCCAUGAAAUAAUGCUUCUGUGUUUCCAAGUGUUCUUGUCUGUAUUUUCAAAUCAGUGUCUCAAUGCAUCAGUGGUCUCUCAGCCCCAUCUCAGCGUGUCAUCCGACUUGUGGGCCUCCACCAGCAGGGCUGAGAGCCCCCACGGGACGCACAGACCAUCAGACAUGGGAUCUGGAGUCCCCUGGCCCACAGAGUGAGACAGUGCCGUGGCAGACCACCAGGACUCCAGAAGAAGGACCAACACAUGUGCAAGUGACCACCUCUGGGAAGACAGCAGUGUGAGGGUGGAUCGCGGGUGCACUGGUCUGUGGGGCAGCUCCGCCCUCUGGCCUCAGCCUCACGGUGACAGUGGAUCGACACGGUUCUGGAGAAACCCGAGGGGAGCUGUGACUCAGCAGUCUGCCCACAAGCCAGUCCUCAGCCGAGACACCAGUCCCUUUCCUUGUAAGACUUGUGCUUUUGUCUUUUUAAGUCCUGCCCUUGCUUUGUCCUGGGAAGCAGUUGUGUCUGUCUCCUGUUGGCAGCAUGAAAAGUCAACACAAAUUUAGCAGCUUCACACAGCAGGCUUGUUAACCACACAGCUUCCAUGGGUCAGGCUCUGGACGUGCGUUUACCGGGAGCUCCACCCAGGGUCUCACGGGGUCAGACCCGUGUCAGCCAGGGCUGUGUCCUCACCUGCGGUCCUCUUCCAGGCCCAUCUGGGUGGCUGGCAGAACCCGUUCCUAGCAGUUACAGGCCAAGGUCCGUGUUCUUCUUGAUGAAUGAAGUGGGUGGGGCUGCAGCCUCAGGUUUUGGCCACACAGCCGCCUCCAUGAGCCCUUUCACCGCAUGGCCGGUGGGAGAAGCUGACUACUCGGCUAUGAGGGAAACUCGGUCUCUGCAAGUGACAGCCCUGCACCUCUGUUGUGUGGGUGCAAAGGACUACCCCACCACAGUCUCCCCUCCCGCCACUCUAGGGGAGGACCUUGGAGUUCUGUCCACCACCUGGCCCUUGGAGGGUCAUUUUCCUGGUAUGUUCCUGUAAAUCCUGGCAGCUCUAAACAAACUAUCUUGGCAUUUCCUGCAUUACCAGACCACAUCUCUCUUGAUCAUAAACCCCUCAGGCCUCAUCCUGCCGGGUGUGAAUGAGAGCCAGGCCACAGCCCUGCAGACCUCUGCGCCAAGCCCCACCCUCCCUCCCCCUACAGGCAGCUUCCUGGGCGCCGGCCUGGCUGUCCACUUGUGGGGUCGCUCCCUAGGAAGCUGUCUCUGUGAGUCUCGCGUUUCAGAUGAUGUCAUUUAUCUGCGAGCAGGCCUCCUCUAACAGCCCAAAGAGGGCAGGAGUUUGGCAUCCAGUUCGGGGCUGACUCCCAGUGCAUGGCACACAGUGGGUGCACAGGAAGUGUUUGCCGAAUGUUGAACAGCACGUGUGAGCACGUGUCUGUGUGUCAGGUUGUGCUCUUGAGUGCCUGUGGUUUUUCCUCCCCAUGAGCCUGGCUGCCUGGAAUGUCCGAGUCCCCAGGAUUGGAGCCAGACUCUGAUUCUCAGGCUCAGUUGGGCUGGCUGCCCCUCCUCGUCCUGUCCAGCCUCUACUCCUAGGAGAGGGGAUGUGGGUCUGGCUCUGGUCUGGCUGGGGCUGGCCUGGAACUCAGGGGGACCACAGUGAUGUUGGUGGCUGUUCAGUUCCGAUCUGUUCUCUCUUGGGCUCUGCUUCCAUCUAUGACUACUUCCUGCCAAGGACUGGGGAGGUGGGCUCAAGCAGGGAGAGAACAGGGCAGGGAAGAGGGGUUGCAGCAUUCCACUGCAGUGGUGCAAGGGGGUGGGGGUCCUCCUUCAGACUUCUGCUUUUGGGCUGAGCUGAGGGCUGGAUCUGCAGCACGGGGGCGCCACCAGGCCUCAGCACAGGGCCUGAGGCCAGGGGACCUACUGGGAGAGGGAGUUUAGGGUGUGGACCAGGCAGGGAGCGGACCCUGUCCCCUUCCAGGCUGCUGGGCCGGACCUGGGUCAUCUCUGCCUCCCUCCAGCCCUGCUUGGACAUCUUCCCUCCACGAAGGAGAGACAGCCUGGCAGCCAGAGGCAGGAACAGAGGGCAGAGGUGGAGGCCAGCGCAGUAGAGACCGAAGGAGAGAGGCAGACAUGGGUGGGGGCGCAGAGGAAGGCUGGGAGGGAGGCUGCAGUGCUAAUGUAAACCAGUUAGGAAAACAAGGGGGAGAGGCCAGGCCUCAAGGCCAGCCAGGCAGGGCUUGUUUUUCCAGAAUGAAAGGCCCAGGGAGGAGCUAGGGUGGGGUGGGGAGACUAGCCCUGAUUCCAGUUUGGAAAGGGCUCCGCCUCCCAGGGCCUGGAUCUUGCAGACGAAAAUAGGUCCGUUAGGUUGGGGGUGGGGUGUUCUCCCAGCUGGUCCUACCUGUUGUCACCCCUCACUCCCUCCUACUGCAGCAGCAGCAGCAGCCUCCUCCCCUUCCCUGGAGCCAGAGAGUCUGGCUGGGCUGGGCUCCUCACUCGCUCUUCUGAGGACUUGGGGACCAGGGCAGGGUUCAAGAAUGAGACUCCGGCCCACCAGGGCCUGGGACCUGUGACAAUAAUUCAGUCCAAAUGGGCAGUCUGAAAAAUGCAUUGUGGCUUUCUGUG